UACGAACCGUGCGAGCGUUGUUCGGAAUCACUGGGCUUAAAGGGCGCGUAGGCGGAUCAUCAAGUCCGGGGUGAAAUCUUUCGGCUUAACCGGAAAAGUGCCUUGGAUACUGGUGGUCUCGAGUGAGGUAGGGGCAUGUGGAACUUCUGGUGGAGCGGUGAAAUGCGUUGAUAUCAGAAGGAACUCCGGUGGCGAAAGCGACGUGCUGGACCUCUUCUGACGCUGAGGCGCGAAAGCUAGGGGAGCAAACAGG
This 253-nucleotide ribosomal RNA is filed under the name uncultured bacterium. Its description in RNAcentral is "partial 16S ribosomal RNA". It matches the Rfam family "Bacterial small subunit ribosomal RNA", at positions 524 to 776 of the family's 1533-position model. The record is from RNAcentral.